This 492-nucleotide ribosomal RNA is filed under the name uncultured bacterium. Its description in RNAcentral is "partial 16S ribosomal RNA". It matches the Rfam family "Bacterial small subunit ribosomal RNA", at positions 29 to 507 of the family's 1533-position model. The record is from RNAcentral.
AGUGAACGCUGGCGGUAGGCCUAACACAUGCAAGUCGAACGGCAGCACAGUAAGAGCUUGCUCUUACGGGUGGCGAGUGGCGGACGGGUGCGGAAUACAUCGGAAUCUACUUUUUCGUGGGGGCUAACGUAGGGAAACUUACGCUAAUACCGCAUUCGACCUCCGGGUGAAAGCAGGGGAUCUUCGGACCUUGCGCGAUUGAAUGAGCCGAUGUCGGAUUAGCUAGUUGGCGGGGCAAAGGCCCACCAAGGCGACGAUCCGUAGCUGGUCUGAGGGGAAGGUCCGGUACAUGGGAUCUGAGACACGCCCCAGACUCUGGGAGGGGGACACAGUGGAGAAUAUUGGACGAUGGGGGCAAGCCUGAUCCAGCCAUACCGGGUAGAUGAAGACGGCGUUCUGGUUCGAAAGUCAUUUUGUUGGGAGAGAAAAGCAACACUUUAAUACCCCGCUGUUCUGACGGUACCCAAAGAAUAAGCACCGGCUAACUUCGUG